AUUGAACGCUGGCGGCAUGCCUUACACAUGCAAGUCGAACGGUAACAGGUCUUCGGAUGCUGACGAGUGGCGAACGGGUGAGUAAUACAUCGGAACGUGCCUAGUAGUGGGGGAUAACUACUCGAAAGAGUGGCUAAUACCGCAUGAGAUCUGCGGAUGAAAGCAGGGGAUCGCAAGACCUUGUGCUACUAGAGCGGCCGAUGGCAGAUUAGGUAGUUGGUGGGAUAAAAGCUUACCAAGCCGACGAUCUGUAGCUGGUCUGACAGGACGAUCAGCCACACUGGGACUGAGACACGGCCCAGACUCCACGGGGGGCAGCAGUGGGGAAUUUUGGACAAUGGGCGAAAGCCUGAUCCAGCAAUGCCGCGUGCAGGAUGAAGGCCUUCGGGUUGUAAACUGCUUUUGUACGGAACGAAAAGCCCUGGGUUAAUACCCUGGGGUCAUGACGGUACCGUAAGAAUAAGCACCGGCUAACUACGUGCCAGCCGCCGCCGUAA
Molecule: ribosomal RNA, 497 nt
Filed under: uncultured bacterium
Lineage: Bacteria
Description: partial 16S ribosomal RNA
Rfam family: Bacterial small subunit ribosomal RNA
Source: RNAcentral